RNAcentral lists this ribosomal RNA (254 nucleotides) under uncultured bacterium. RNAcentral's name for it is "partial 16S ribosomal RNA". It matches the Rfam family "Bacterial small subunit ribosomal RNA", at positions 795 to 1052 of the family's 1533-position model. The record is from RNAcentral.
CCACGCAGUAAACGAUGAUUACUAGGAGUUUGCGAUAUAAUGUAAGCUCUACAGCGAAAGCGUUAAGUAAUCCACCUGGGGAGUACGCCGGCAACGGUGAAACUCAAAGGAAUUGACGGGGGCCCGCACAAGCGGAGGAACAUGUGGUUUAAUUCGAUGAUACGCGAGGAACCUUACCCGGGUUUGAACGCAGGGGGACCGGUCAGGAAACUGACUUUCUAGCAAUAGCCGCCUGCGAGGUGCUGCAUGGUUGU